UACGUAGGGGUCAAGCGUUUUUCGGAUUUACUGGGCGUAAAGGGCGCGUAGGCGGCGCGUAAAGUCGGACAUGAAAUCAUUGGGCUUAACCCAAUGGCUGUGCCCGAUACUUGCGUGCUUAGAGUGCGGGAGAGGCAAUCGGAAUUCUCGGUGUAGUGGUGAAAUGCGUAGAUAUCGAGAGGAACUCCAGUGACGAAGGUGGGUUGCUGGACCGACACUGACGCUGAGGCGCGAAAGCUAGGGGAGCAAACGGG
RNAcentral lists this ribosomal RNA (254 nucleotides) under uncultured bacterium. RNAcentral describes it as "partial 16S ribosomal RNA". It matches the Rfam family "Bacterial small subunit ribosomal RNA", at positions 524 to 776 of the family's 1533-position model. The record is from RNAcentral.